AUUCGACAGACGUAUCUUUAUCAGCCAGUGCCGCCGUACACAACCCUAAUUUGUAACGAUCAUCAACAAUGUUAGAGGAAAAGAGGCGACGUGAUCUCAGGGGAACUGAAGAACGUAGAUGUUACUCGAUCAUAACAUGUUGAGAAUUCAUAGGUUAUAACAAGUAUCCCGUGCAAUCUGACUGCACAUGGGGAUAUUCAACCUUUGCAAUCGUAAACCUUUGUUCAAGGUAUCAUGAGGCUGAAAUGCUCGAUAGUCUUCCUGGGAAAGAUUCUUGGAAAGCAAGCAUGGGAUACUUGAUCCGCAAGACACAGUCUCCAGAUUGCCUGAAAACGUACUUCAACAUAUCAUGUCUUUUCUUCCGCCAUUAGAUCAAGAUAAUGUUCGUUUUUUAUCGAGAGAAUGGCGCCGACUAAAUGCGCAAAACCAAACAGUGCUCUGGCUGACUAAGCAGCGGUUAAACAAGUUGGAAUUUCCAAAGGUUUUGAAUGAUGAGUUCCACUCAGUAGAUGAUUAAAUGCCUGGGGAUGAGAAACCUGAAGCUUGUGAAUUUUAAGCUAUUAAUUGUUCACUUGAACCGCUGUGGAAGCUUGAAGAAUUUGUACCUCAACACACCAAAUCUUACAACUUUAUACUUCCAUGGACCGCGUGGCAGACCAUGCACGAUUGAGCUUAUUAAUUGCAAAGAUUUAAUGAAUUUGCAUUUAGUUGGGGUUGCUAUGAACACUACGAUGUUCGUAAACUGCAACGAAAGUUUUCCACUUCUUCAGAUGUUGACACUUGCUGGCUGUGCUAUGAGUGGAUGUAUUAACAUCUCAAGUAAUUCUCUCCACGAAUUAUGGUUUAUUGGAAUCAAUAAGCCCGUGGGUCUCACCAUUGAUGCCCCAAACGUAUCUUCUUUCAAGUACAAUGGCCGUACAAUAGCUCCGUAUCAAAACAUCAACUUACCCCGUGUUGCUAUAGCUUAUGUUGAGCUAUAUCCUAAUCUGAACCAAAAGGGUGAAUGUGAUUUUAGAAUGUGGCCCAAUCAGUUAUAAUUCAAGAUUCUAAAAGAAAAGAUUGGGCAUUUGAUUUUAGAAUGUGGCCCAAUAAGUAGUACAAUUUCCCGAUAUGAACAUAGGGUUUUUUUAAGUUAGUGAUUU
Helianthus annuus (common sunflower) is the source of this 1142-nucleotide long non-coding RNA. RefSeq lists it as uncharacterized. NCBI's taxonomy places the organism in Eukaryota, Viridiplantae, Streptophyta, Magnoliopsida, Asterales, Asteraceae. The transcript is spliced from 3 exons. The record is from RefSeq and is a predicted model, not a curated record.